GACAGAGGGGGCAAGCGUUGCUCGGAAUCACUGGGCGUAAAGGGCGCGUAGGCGGGAUGGCAAGUCGGUCGUGAAAUCCCUCGGCUCAACCAAGGAAGUGCUUUCGAAACUGCUGAGCUUGAGUACUUAAGAGGAUCGCGGAAUUCCCGGUGUAGAGGUGAAAUUCGUAGAUAUCGGGAGGAACACCAGUGGCGAAGGCGGCGAUCUGGGAAGAUACUGACGCUGAGGUGCGAAAGCGUGGGGAGCAAACAGG
Molecule: ribosomal RNA, 253 nt
Filed under: uncultured bacterium
Lineage: Bacteria
Description: partial 16S ribosomal RNA
Rfam family: Bacterial small subunit ribosomal RNA
Source: RNAcentral